Molecule: ribosomal RNA, 391 nt
Filed under: uncultured bacterium
Lineage: Bacteria
Description: bacterial SSU rRNA
Rfam family: Bacterial small subunit ribosomal RNA
Source: RNAcentral
GACGAACGCUGGCGGCGUGCUUAACACAUGCAAGUCGAGCGGAAAGGCCCUUUCGGGGGUACUCGAGCGGCGAACGGGUGAGUAACACGUGAGUAAUCUGCCCUUGGCUUUGGGAUAACUACCGGAAACGGUGGCUAAUACCGGAUACGACGUACUCAGGCAUCUGAUGUGCGUGGAAAGUUUUUUCGGCCAGGGAUGUGCUCGCGGCCUAUCAGCUUGUUGGUGGGGUAAUGGCCUACCAAGGCUUCGACGGGUAGCCGGCCUGAGAGGGUGACCGGCCACACUGGGACUGAGACACGGCCCAGACUCCUACGGGAGGCAGCAGUGGGGAAUAUUGGACAAUGGGCGGAAGCCUGAUCCAGCAACGCCGCGUGAGGGAUGACGGCCUCGG